Molecule: transfer RNA, 28 nt
Filed under: Grimothea quadrispina
Lineage: Eukaryota; Metazoa; Arthropoda; Malacostraca; Decapoda; Munididae
Description: Munida quadrispina partial tRNA-Trp
Source: RNAcentral
AAAAAAAUUGUUAAUCUUUUAAAUCUUA